AUGACACUGAGCCUUUUCAGCUAUAUUAAUUCCAUAGAGAUGGUGCCGCGCACGGACGCAGUGGCCCAUGGCUCCCAGCAACUAGGCACAAUUGUUUGUCUUUUAGGUUGUCUUGUUUUAUCAGCCCACUUCUGCCAUGGACUUAUCAAAUACUCACCCCAGGAGAUACUGGCCAUCGAACCUCAGCUAAAUAAUAAAGUAACAGUUGAAUUCACCCGGACAUACAAUAUUCCACCAGAGAUAGCCAGACCAGCCGGAGAUCCGUGGACUGUUGUCAGCUCUGCAAGGCGUCGUAGACGGCGCAGAGACAGCAGCGUAAUAAAUAUCUUUUGCUCAUCAGACUUAGAGGCUCUGUCUGUCCAGUGCAGACCAUUCUAUCUGCCACGGGAGCUAAUGCUAGUCAUUGCUACUGCUUUUUAUUUCCCACCUAAUGCUAAUGUUAGCGCUGCACUCAUCCAGCUUCAUCACUUUUUAACAAAACAGCAGCAGGCUCAUCCAGAUGGAGUACACAUAAUAGCUGGGGACUUCAUUAAAGCAUGCUUAAAGACUGUUUUCCCCAAACUCCACCAUGUCAAGUUUGCAACCCGGGGUAAAAAUACACUGGACCGUGUAUAUACCAACAUCAAGCAUGCUUAUAGAGCUACAUCCCUUCCCCAUCUUGGACAGUCUGACCAUCUCUCCAUGUUUCUCAUCCCAGCUUACACUCCCCUCAAGAAACAAACAAAGCCCACUACAUGCACCAUCACCACCUUACCUGCUGAAGCCCUCCCACAGCUACAGGACUGCUUUGCCUGCACAGACUGGAGAGUGUUUGAACAACAGGACCUGGAGGCACACAUAGAGAUGGUGCUAUCCUACAUCAGAACCUGUGUAGAAAAUGUCACAGUGACCAAACAGAUUUGGAUCUUCCCAAAUAGGAAGCCCUGGAUGACAUCAGAGGUCCAGGCUCUAAUCAGAGCCCACAAUGUUGCCUUCAAGUCAGGUAACAGCAACUUGUACCGCAUAGCCAGAACUAGUCUGAGGAACGGCAUUCACCAGGCAAAGAGAGUCUACAGGAGGAAAAUAGAAGACCUCUUUCACAAAAACAAUCCCCAGAAGAUGUGGAAGGGGAUUCAGACUCUGACAAACUACAGAGGCCACACUCUGUCCAACACUGGCAGCAGCAGAACACAGGCAGAGGAGCUAAACAACUUCUUUGCUCGUUUUUAA
RNAcentral lists this long non-coding RNA (1209 nucleotides) under Nothobranchius furzeri (turquoise killifish). RNAcentral's name for it is "lncRNA (ENSNFUG00015015060.1)". The record is from RNAcentral. Lineage: Eukaryota; Metazoa; Chordata; Actinopteri; Cyprinodontiformes; Nothobranchiidae.